This 401-nucleotide unclassified non-coding RNA is filed under the name uncultured fungus. RNAcentral describes it as "partial contains small subunit ribosomal RNA, internal transcribed spacer 1, and 5.8S ribosomal RNA". The stretch from base 1 to 73 matches the Rfam family "Eukaryotic small subunit ribosomal RNA", at positions 1759 to 1831 of the family's 1831-position model. Lineage: Eukaryota; Fungi. The record is from RNAcentral.
GCAAACUUGGUCAUUUAGAGGAAGUAAAAGUCGUAACAAGGUUUCCGUAGGUGAACCUGCGGAAGGAUCAUUAUUGAAAAGCCUUGAUGGGUUUGUAGCUGGCCUUUAGGGGCAUGUGCACGGCCUGUCUUGACUUCUAUCCAUCCACCUGUGCACUUUGUGUAGUCUUCUUGAGGAUAUGAGUAAGUGGCCAAUUUCAGCCCAGGCUGGAUGUGAGGUCUGCCCAGUGAGUGAGGGCUUUCCUCUGUGUCAUGUAUCCUCCUCCCUCAGGGACUACGUCAUUUAUCACAAACUGCUGUAGUAUGUUAACAGAAUGUAAUUAUUUGGCCUAUGUGCCUAUUGAUCAUUAUACAACUUUCAGCAACGGAUCUCUUGGCUCUCGCAUCGAUGAAGAACGCAGC